This 274-nucleotide ribosomal RNA is filed under the name uncultured bacterium. RNAcentral describes it as "partial 16S ribosomal RNA". It matches the Rfam family "Bacterial small subunit ribosomal RNA", at positions 523 to 796 of the family's 1533-position model. The record is from RNAcentral.
AUACGGAGGGUGCAAGCGUUACUCGGAAUUACUGGGCGUAAAGGACGCGUAGGCGGGUUAUUAAGUCGGGUGUGAAAUCCAAUGGCUCAACCAUUGAACUGCAUUCGAAACUGAUAACCUAGAGUAUGGAAGGGGCAGGUGGAAUUAGUGGUGUAGGGGUAAAAUCCGUAGAUAUCACUAGGGAUACCGAAAGCGAAGGCGACCUGCUGGGACAUUACUGACGCUGAGGCGUGAAAGCGUGGGGAGCAAACAGGAUUAGAAACCCCAGUAGUCC